Molecule: RNA transcript, 6006 nt
Organism: Gadus morhua (Atlantic cod)
Lineage: Eukaryota; Metazoa; Chordata; Actinopteri; Gadiformes; Gadidae
Gene name: globoside alpha-1,3-N-acetylgalactosaminyltransferase 1
Exons: 5
Source: RefSeq, a predicted model, not a curated record
CAUACGUAUGUGGAAACGAGGCGUAACAGUUUAGUGAUGCCGCAGCGCGUUGAAGUCCGUCCCAAGGCGUCCGUAAGGCUUCAAUAAUUUGCAUGCUUGAAAGCCGUGACAUAAGUUGAAAACGUCUGAGGAGUUAUUCCCUGGAUGGAUGUAAGGAACAUGUUGUCGGACAUUAAUUAGUUGUGGAAUUAAUUGUAUAUUUAACCGGAAUGGAGCAUCGGAACUAAAACGCUGUGAUUAAAGUCUUGUUUGACGUGAGGAUUAUUUGAACGGAAAAAGCCGUAUAAUGAUCCAGUUGAUGACACGAAGUGAAUGACUUUAAUCACCACCGUACGGAACGUUGAGGAGCUGCGGCCCGUUUGACUUUUGAAAACGUUUGACUUUUCCGCGCCCCGUUUGAAAACGUGCUUUAACUCUGCAACUUAUGUGCGCGUAUAAAUUUGCGUGGUUGAUUUGUCGACAAAAUGUCAAUUGAAAAUAAAGACGCCAGUAAUGUGGUGGAAUAUGAGGAGCAUGAUGCAAAUGUGGUGGGAGGCAAUCGCCCUGUCGCAAAAACUAAAGAUGGAAGCGAGUCAGAAGUUAAACCAAAGAGAGUGCCAAAGUUAACUGAAAAGGGACUCGCAGCUAAAUUGGAGCGGUUAACUAAAUCGAGAAGUGCUAAAUUAAAGCAGCUGAUCACAAGCAGAAAUCAAAUUGAAUCACUUAUGGUUGAAUAUGAUAAUCUGGAGGUUAUUUCACAAAUGCACAUCAACUUCACUGUGCUUAUCGAGGAUUUUAGUAAAAUACAAUGCUCAAUUUAUGAACUGCUUCCAAAGGAGAGAAAGGAAGAUGAUCACACAAAAUGGUACUUACCAAAUCUUGCCAGAUUUAAUGAAUUCAAAAGUACAGUAAAAAAAUGGAAGCAAUAUGCAGCAACACUUGCACAAGAGCAUCAAGCCACAGAGGUUCAAGAAGAGCAUACUUCUGGUGCCUCUCUCAUAAGCAAGGUUCCUCAAAGCAGCACAAGGAGCAGCCAUAUAUCUUCUACAGCUUCCUCUUCCAGGCGUAAAGCUGAAGCUGAAAGAGCAGCGCUCAUGGCACAAGCUGAAGGUCUUAAAAAUAAACUUGCACUUGAAAGGGAAGAAGCUGAGCUCACUCAAAGGUGGGAACAAAUAAGAGCUCAAAAGGAAAUAAGCAUUGAAACCCAACUUGCUGCUGCAGAUGCUAAAAUCAAGGUUUAUGAUGAGCUGGAUGGAAGGAGCAGUGUGCUUUCAAGGCAAAAGGAAAAAGACUUUACUUUACUUCAGCUCAGUACGAUGGGGCAGAAGAUGCUGUUGAUGGAGAGGAGCAGGAUGAUGACGAUGAAGCUGGUGAUGACGAAGGAGAUGAACUUGCAGAUGACAAGAACUACAGUCAUGUUGCUGCACAGUUACCUGGACAGAGCUCAUAUGCCCCUAGAGGUGAAAAGCGGCAUGUACAAGUUAAAGGUCCAACUUUCAAGACAGAAUUAUUGCAAUUACCAGUAUCCCACACUGACAAACAUGCCCAUGACAAACACAGUGCAGACAUCAACCUGAUGAAAAUAAUGCAAAAGCAGAACGAAAUAACGGAAAUGCUGAUUAAAGAACAAAGACUCUCAACUUUGCCCUCAAAGGAAAUUCCUGUUUUUAAAGGUGACCCCAUGCAAUACUUGACUUUCAUUCGCACCUUUGAACAUUGCAUUGAAGGAAAAACAAGUAAUGAGAGGGACAGAUUGUUCUUCCUAGAUCAGUACACUGAAGGGCAGCCAAAAUUACUUGUGAGAAGCUGUCUACAUAUGGAACCUGAAAAAGGGUACAACAAAGCAAAGCAAUUGUUGCAAAAACACUUUGGGAACGACAUCCUUAUUGCUUCAGCCUAUCAAGAGAAGGCAUUGAAUUGGCCAGUACUUAAGUCCGAAGAUCGAGCAGCACUGCAAGAGUACGCUUAUUUUUUGCGUAGUUGUGGUAAUGCCAUGAUUGACGUUGAAGCUCUUAAUGACAUGAACAAUACAUCUCACAUGAGAACCUUUGUCUCAAGGCUUCCUUUCAAAUUGAGAGAAAAAUGGAGAGGUAAAGCUUAUGAGUGUUAUGAGCGAACCCAAGCAAGAGCCAAGUUCAUGCAAUUAGUCAGUUUGUUGAAAGACAGGCAAAUAUGGCAUGCGACCCAUUAUUUGGAAACAUCCAAGAUGUCACACCAAAGGACGAUAGGAAAAAAAUCCCCAGAGUAAAAUCAGGCUCUGCAUACAAGAGUAGCUUCACAACUGUGACAACAGAAGAACCGCUUCAAAAUCCAACCCCUGUUUUGACGGCACGACCCAGAAUAUGUUUGUUCUGCAAAAAGGACCACACAACUGAAACUUGUAAAGAAUUGAACGGAAAAAAGCGUGAAGAGAAAGUUGAAUUCUUCAAAGUCAACGGAAUCUGCUUCGGCUGCAUGAACAAGGGUCAUCUAAGUAAGGAUUGCAGGAGGAGACUGAGUUGUAAGAUCUGCUCAUUAAAGCACCCCACCAUGCUGAACAUCGAAAGAAAUAAACCAGAGGAAAUCAGGAGGCAGAAUGAAGACAGAGCGACAGCAGUAAACAGCUCUCUGGUAUCACUGGAGAAACCCGCUCAUACUGGGGCCGGUGAUAACCAAACAUUAGCCAUUGUACCAGUAAAGGUCAAACUGUCGAGCUGCAAUAAAGCCAUCCAUACUUACGCCUUUUUAGACCCAGGCGGUACUGCCACUUUUUGCACAACUACCUUACAAAGACAACUGAAUGCUAAAGGAAGGAAAACAAGAAUUUUACUGAAAACCCUUGGACACGAGAAGGUUGUGAAUGUAGACAGAAUCUCCGGUUUGGAAGUAUCGAAUCUUGAAGGAGAUGAUUUUAUUGCGCUGCCAGCGGUCUACACGCAAGAGGAGAUACCUGUUACAAAGGAGCAAAUUCCCACAUUGGAAGCCUUGAAGGAAUGGGAUUACCUAAAGGAGGUUGUAUUGACCCAUAUUGAUGCUGAAAUCGGGCUUCUGAUAGGAACUAACGCACCUAAGACCAUGGAACCAUGGAAGAUAAUAAACAGCCAAGAAGGUGGUCCUUAUGCUGUCAAGACCAGGCUAGGAUGGGUGGUUAAUGGACUUUUGAACGACUGCAGUGACGCUGAAGGUCAGCUUCGCCAGGUUCACAGUAAUUGAAUAGCAGUUGUAAACUUGGACGAUCUUGUAAGAACUUCAAUCAAGACUUCCCUGAGAAGGUGUAUGAGGAGAAGGCUGAAAUGUCCAUACAAGAUAAACAAUUCAUGCGCAUUAUGUCUGCUUCCGCCAAAAUGAAAGAUGGACACUUCCAGCUAAAACUCCUGUUCAAAAAGGAUGACAUCUCCAUGCAGAGCUUUCCGGAUGAAGUUGCGAGUUUGAAGAGUGAAACUAGGAAUGUCAAAAGACAAAGCCCAAUCUUUAAGCUUGAUCCUAAGCUGGAUAAUGGAAUACUGAGAGUCGGGGGAAGACUGAGUAAGCUGGCCAUGCCGGAAGAGACAAAGCACCCCGUCAUCCUAGCAAAGAAUCACCAUGUGUCGAGGUUAAUUCUUGAAAAUAUCCAUAGACAAAUAGGACAUUGUGGAAGGAACUACAUGUUAUCUGUUUUAAGGCAGAAAUAUUGGAUCCCUUGCGCCAAUGCAUUGUCCAGAACAAUUAUAAACGACUGUGUAAAAUGUAGACGUCUACGAGGUGACGUUGGCGAGCAGAAAAUGGCGGUUUUGCCUAGAGACAGGAUCACUCCCGAUCUGCCACCCUUCACUAAUGUCGGAGUGGAUUAUUUCGGCCCCAUCGAGGUCUAAAGAGGAAGGGGCACAAUAAAAAGAUAUGGAGUCAUUUUCACAUGUUUAGCCAGUCGUGCGGUACACCUGGAGGUGGCGCAUUCCCUUGACACAGAUUUGUGCGUUAAUGCCCUCCGACGAUUCAUUUGUAGGCGAGGACAAGUAAACAAACUAAGAUCCGAUAACGGGACCAACUUCAUUGCUGCUGAGCGAGAGUUGAAGGAAGCACUUAAAGCAUGGAAUCAGGACAAGAUCAGCAAGGCUUUGCAACAGAAAGGUGUGAAAUGGACCUUUAAUCCCCCUGCAGCUGCCCAUCAUGGAGGUGUGUGGGAGAGAUUGAUUCGGUCGCUGAAAAAGGUUUUGCUCUCCGUCAUAAAACAGCAAAUAUUAGAUGACGAAAUCCUCACCACUGUCAUGUGUGAGGUUGAAGCUAUCCUUAAUAGCCGUCCCCUGACCACUGUAUCAGAUAAUCCAAACGGCUUGGAACCGCUGACCCCAAACCACCUACUACUAUCCAAAGUACAGCCCUUGCUCCCACCGGGAACCUUUAAGCAAGAGGACACGUACGUAAGAAGACGUUGGCGCCAAGUACAAUACAUAUCAGACCUGUUCUGGUCCAGGUGGCUUAAAGAGUAUCUACCGCUCCUGCAGGAACGCCAGAAAUGGAGCAGAGUUAGGCGGAAUUUCAUGGAAGGAGACAUUGUGCUAAUAGCAGAUGUAACCGCCCCUAGAGGGUCAUGGGUUAUUGCUAGAAUCGUGAACAUCAACCCUGACCAAAGAGGUGUCGUGAGGAGUGUAAAGCUUCAAACCCGGACCAACUUAAUCGAAAGACCGGUCACCAAGAUCGUGCUCCUGGUUCCGGCUACCGAAUUAAGACGCACACUUAGUUGACACUAGUUGUAGUCAAUUAACCUACUUUAAUGUAUGCAUAGACUCCUGCCAAGACUCCUCUCUAGCAGAGUGAGUCCAGAAUACAGUUAGGCAGAGGUGUUCAAACUGUUUCACAUGAACAGCUAUUCAAACAACCCCCCACAAUGAAAAUGUCAAUAAUACAGAGACACAGAGUUGCCUGUGUUCACAUCAAGGAGAAGAAUGCAUAAGGGUGUGCCCUCUUCCUUGUGGCGGUUUACUCAAGCACAAAGGUAGGUGAGGCCAUAAGGGCCUGUUUUUAUGGUCUAAAAAAGUGGCCAAACGGGGCCAAACGAGGUCAGGCCAUGGCUGUGUGUGCUGUCUUCACUGGCCAUGCUAAAUUGUAAUAAACGAGUAUCCACUGUCUACAGUAGCCCGUUGUUUCAAAGAAAACCAUUAUUUGAUUUUUUUGUUGUCAAUGUUUUUCCACCCGGAGAACUAAAUGAGCUAAGUGUGUGAGGAUCAGGAACGAUGGGUGUUCCAGGAUACACUGCAUCAUUUACCUUUUUGAAUAAAAAAAAACACCCCGCUGUAGGUUGCCCUUCAAUAGGUGCCUUUUUCUCUGGGAAUAUUGGGGUACUACAUGGUGAAUCAGGACACGGAACUGUCACACCGGCUUCCUACCAUGAGUUGAAAACCGGUGCAAUACCAUCGAUCGCCUCUUGGCAUAACCUGUACUGGUAUUGUAUGUCUAGCGGAUUCUGCAUGCAGUGGUGUGCGUCUGUUAUCAGUAUGUCAGCCAUUGACCCCGGUCCCUCUUGCAGCAUGAAUAAAAGCAUCCUGGAGUGCGUAACACUCACAAGUAUGCUUGGAUCAUGGGGCUUGCAUCGGAGACGGAUGGACGUUAACCCUGUCACAAACUGGAAUGCUCCCCUGGUGUGGGAAGGGACCUUUGACCCAGUGGUGAUAGAUUCCAUUUACAAAAGAAUGGAUCCAAGAAUUGCUGUAAUAGUGUUCGCGGUUGGCAAGUACACUCGUUUUUUGAAGGGCUUCCUUGAAUCAGGAGAGAAGCACUUUAUGGUGGACUUCAAACUAACCUAUUACAUCUUUACAGACCAUGUGGAUGAGGUUCCCAAAAUUGACCAAGCUAUGGGCCGGAAGAUCACCAUCCUCCCGGUUCCCAGUGCCACUCGUUGGCAAGACGUGGUGCUGGGUAGGAUGAAGUAUGCCACCAUCGCCAUCGACCAACAGAUUCGUAAUCAGUCCGACUAUAUCUUCAUGAUGGACAUCGACAGCCUCUUCCACGGCCGAGUCGGAGCUGAAUCUCUCAGUCGGAUGUCGGCUGUUCUUCAUCGAGGAUACUACAAGG